Molecule: small nucleolar RNA, 85 nt
Filed under: Sciurus vulgaris (Eurasian red squirrel)
Lineage: Eukaryota; Metazoa; Chordata; Mammalia; Rodentia; Sciuridae
Description: Small nucleolar RNA U13 (ENSSVLG00005023825.1)
Rfam family: Small nucleolar RNA U13
Source: Rfam by way of RNAcentral
AUCCUUUGGUUCACAAGCAUGACGACUAGGCAUUCACGCUGUUGUGUGAGAUGGGCCAUGACUUCAGCACAUCACCCGUCUGAGA